This 1937-nucleotide ribosomal RNA is filed under the name marine metagenome. RNAcentral describes it as "bacterial LSU rRNA". It matches the Rfam family "Bacterial large subunit ribosomal RNA", at positions 973 to 2814 of the family's 2925-position model. The record is from RNAcentral.
AAAUAUAGCAGUGAGCCUAUGGGGGAUAAGCUCCAUAGACGAGAGGGAAACAACCCAGAUCAUCAGCUAAGGCCCCUAAAUGUAUGUUAAGUGUGAAACGAUGUGAGAGUGUUCAGACAGCCAGGAGGUUGGCUUAGAAGCAGCCAUUCCUUUAAAGAGUGCGUAACAGCUCACUGGUCGAAUGUUCUCGCGCGGAAGAUGUAACGGGGCUAAAUAUACUGCCGAAGCUAUGGGAUUUUAUUAAUUCUGAUUUCGAUCCAGAAGAUAAAAUCGGUAGGAGAGCGUUGUAUGGACAGCGAAGCGACAACGUGAGUUAGUCGUGGAGACCAUACAAGUGAGAAUGUUGGCAUGAGUAGCGAAGGAAGAGUGAGAAUCUCUUCCGCCGAAUGUCCAAGGGUUCCUGGGGAAGGUUCGUCCGCCCAGGGUUAGUCGGGACCUAAGGCGAGGUCGAGAGACGUAGUCGAUGGAUAACAGAUUGAUAUUUCUGUACCACUAAUAACACCCAAAUCGAAUAUAUGUUGCUAAGGAAAGCCCUUCGGGGCCUACCGACCCACAUAUUACUAGGUUAGCAAUGGAGCGACGGAGAAGGAUAGAUGAGCCCAGGUGAUGGUUAUCCUGGGGUAAAUGUGUAGGAAGACUGAUAGGUAAAUCCGUUAGUCACAUAUUCUGAGACAUGAUGCCGAGCCGCUUUUAGGCGAAGUCAUUGAUUCCAUACUUCCAAGAAAAACUUCUAGUUAGUUUUAUUAGUGCCCGUACCCCAAACCGACACAGGUGGACAAGUAGAGAAUACUAAGGCGAGCGAGAGAACUCUGGUUAAGGAACUCGGCAAAAUAGUUCCGUAACUUCGGGAGAAGGAACGCCCAAGUAAAGUGAUUAAUUAACUUUAUAAGCUUGAACGGGCCGCAGUGAUCAGACUCAAGCGACUGUUUAUCAAAAACACAGGAGGAUGCAAAGUUCUAAUACAACGUAUAUCCUCUGACACCUGCCCGGUGCUGGAAGGUUAAGUGGAGAGGUUAGCUUCGGCGAAGCUUUGAAAUUAAGCCCCAGUAAACGGCGGCCGUAACUAUAACGGUCCUAAGGUAGCGAAAUUCCUUGUCGGGUAAGUUCCGACCUGCACGAAUGGUGUAACGAUUUGAGUACUGUCUCAACCAGAGACUCGGCGAAAUUGCAAUGUGAGUAAAGAUGCUCACUAUGCGCGACAGGACGGAAAGACCCCGGAACCUUUACUGCAACUUGAUAUUGAAUGUUGGUGUGCAGUAUGCAGGAUAAGUGGGAGACUUUGAAACAAUCACGCUAGUGGUUGUGGAGUCAUCCUUGAGAUACCACUUUCUUCAUAUUGACCUUCUAACCUAGAUCCGUUAUCCGGAUCAGGGACAUUGUCUGGUAGGCAGUUUCACUGGGGCGGUGGCCUCCAAAAAAGUAACGGAGGCGCUCAAAGGUCACCUCAGCGUGGACGGCAAUCACGCAUUGAGUGUAAGUGCAAAAGGUGGCUUGACUGUGACACAAACAAGUGAAGCAGGUACGAAAGUAGGAACUAGUGAUCCCAUGGUUGCAUGUGGGUGCGCCAUGGCUCAUCGGCUAAAAGGUACUCCGGGGAUAACAGGCUUAUACCCUCCAAGAGUCCAUAUCGACGGGGGUGUUUGGCACCUCGAUGUCGGCUCUUCUCAUCCUGGGGCUGGAGCAGGUCCCAAGGGUUAGGCUGUUCGCCUAUUAAAGAGGAACGCGAGCUGGGUUCAGAACGUCGUGAGACAGUUCGGUCCCUAUCCGUCGCGCACGUAAGAAAUUUGAAGAAAGUUGUCCCUAGUACGAGAGGACCGGGAUGAACGAUCCGCUGGUGUGCCAGUUGUUCUGCCAAGAGCACGGCUGGUUAGCUACGAUCGGACAGGAUAAGCACUGAAAGCAUCUAAGUGCGAAGCCCCUUCUAAGAUAAGAUUUCU